GCCAGUGUGGUGUAGUGGUUUGGGUGCUGGACUAUGACUCUAGGGACCAGGGUUCAAACCCCCACUCAGCCA
Molecule: non-coding RNA, 72 nt
Organism: Phrynosoma platyrhinos (Desert horned lizard)
Lineage: Eukaryota; Metazoa; Chordata; Lepidosauria; Squamata; Phrynosomatidae
Source: the annotation of a GenBank genome assembly